GUCUUCGGAUUGUAAAGCACUUUCGACGGGGACGAUGAUGACGGUACCCGUAGAAGAAGCCCCGGCUAACUUCGUGCCAGCAGCCGCGGUAAUACGAAGGGGGCUAGCGUUGCUCGGAAUGACUGGGCGUAAAGGGCGUGUAGGCGGUUUUGACAGUCAGAUGUGAAAUCCCCGGGCUUAACCUGGGAGCUGCAUUUGAGACGUUAAGACUAGAGUGUGAGAGAGGGUUGUGGAAUUCCCAGUGUAGAGGUGAAAUUCGUAUGAUAUUGGGAAGAACACCGGUGGCGAAGGCGGCAACCUGGCUCAUUACUGACGCUGAGGCGCGAAAGCGUGGGGAGCAAACAGGAUUAGAUACCCUGGUAGUCCACGCUGUAAACGAUGUGUGCUAGAUGUUGGGUAACUUAGUUAUUCAGUGUCGCAGUUAACGCGUUAACGUCUACACCGCCUGGGGAGUACGGCCGCAAGGUUGAAACUCAAG
Molecule: ribosomal RNA, 478 nt
Filed under: uncultured Acetobacter sp.
Lineage: Bacteria; Pseudomonadati; Pseudomonadota; Alphaproteobacteria; Acetobacterales; Acetobacteraceae
Description: bacterial SSU rRNA
Rfam family: Bacterial small subunit ribosomal RNA
Source: RNAcentral